This 492-nucleotide ribosomal RNA is filed under the name uncultured bacterium. Its description in RNAcentral is "partial 16S ribosomal RNA". It matches the Rfam family "Bacterial small subunit ribosomal RNA", at positions 29 to 507 of the family's 1533-position model. The record is from RNAcentral.
AGUGAACGCUGGCGGUAGGCCUAACACAUGCAAGUCGAACGGCAGCACAGUAAGAGCUUGCUCUUACGGGUGGCGAGUGGCGGACGGGUGAGGAAUACAUCGGAAUCUACUUUUUCGUGGGGGAUAACGUAGGGAAACUUACGCUAAUACCGCAUACGACCUACGGGUGAAAGCAGGGGAUCUUCGGACCUUGCGCGAUUGAAUUAGCCGAUGCCGGAUUAGCUAGUUGGCGGGGUAAAGGCCCACCAAGGCGACGAUCCGUAGCUGGUCUGAGAGGAUGAUCAGCCACACUGGAACUGAGACACGGUCCAGACUCCUACGGGAGGCAGCAGUGGGGAAUAUUGGACAAUGGGCGCAAGCCUGAUCCAGCCAUACCGCGUGGGUGAAGAAGGCCUUCGGGUUGUAAAGCCCUUUUGUUGGGAAAGAAAAGCAGCAGGUUAAUACCACGCUGUUCUGACGGUACCCAAAGAAUAAGCACCGGCUAACUUCGUG